Molecule: long non-coding RNA, 513 nt
Filed under: Carica papaya (papaya)
Lineage: Eukaryota; Viridiplantae; Streptophyta; Magnoliopsida; Brassicales; Caricaceae
Description: long non-coding RNA (CPAP_LNC010104)
Source: RNAcentral
UAAGCUCUGCCCUAGAUGGGAGAUCUGGGCUAAUUCUGGUUUUGCAGGUACUUUCUCGUGUAGUAUUGGGUACUUCCAUAUAUGUGACAGGUAUUCAUGAUCCUUGCCAAAGUAUUGGCAAGUCCUACCGCGUCCUGUUGCUAGAGCUUGAGAAGGAGCUUGAGUCACAGGCCUAGGUCUUUUGUUCUACUAAAUUAGUGCAGUAGGUGCUGGUCUGCGAUGUGGAACCGGAGGUAUGAAAUUGUCCACUACUGGAGGAAAGAUUCGAAAAUGCAUCUCUAUUAGCUGUGCCUUGGCCAGAACUGCUGAGUAGGUGCUGAGCUCGAAUACGUAAAGUUAUUGCUUGAUCUUAGGAUAGAGGCCUCACUCAAACUUCCUUGCCUUUCUGCCUUCAUCCAUCAUACUUUUAGGAGAAUACUGGCCUAACUCUAGCAACUUUUAGGCAUACUCAAACACUGUCAUCUCACCUUAGACCAGGUGUGCAAACUCCAUUUCUAUCAAAUACUGAAGAUG